RNAcentral lists this transfer RNA (74 nucleotides) under Pseudomonadales bacterium. RNAcentral's name for it is "tRNA-Gly". It matches the Rfam family "tRNA". From Rfam's summary of the family: Transfer RNA (tRNA) molecules are approximately 80 nucleotides in length. Their secondary structure includes four short double-helical elements and three loops (D, anti-codon, and T loops). Further hydrogen bonds mediate the characteristic L-shaped molecular structure. tRNAs have two regions of fundamental functional importance: the anti-codon, which is responsible for specific mRNA codon recognition, and the 3' end, to which the tRNAs corresponding amino acid is attached (by aminoacyl-tRNA synthetases). tRNAs cope with the degeneracy of the genetic code in two manners: having more than one tRNA (with a specific anti-codon) for a particular amino acid; and 'wobble' base-pairing, i.e. permitting non-standard base-pairing at the 3rd anti-codon position. RNAcentral also lists the same sequence under 14 other names. Lineage: Bacteria; Pseudomonadati; Pseudomonadota; Gammaproteobacteria; Pseudomonadales. The record is from RNAcentral.
GCGGGUGUAGUUCAAUGGUAGAACCUCAGCCUUCCAAGCUGAUGACGUGGGUUCGAUUCCCACUACCCGCUCCA